This 549-nucleotide long non-coding RNA is filed under the name Citrus maxima (pomelo). Its description in RNAcentral is "long non-coding RNA (CMAX_LNC001015)". The record is from RNAcentral. Lineage: Eukaryota; Viridiplantae; Streptophyta; Magnoliopsida; Sapindales; Rutaceae.
GGCAGGCCCCUUCUGCCGGGUCUUUACGUCUUAAAGAUGACUCGUUCACUGAUAGAAAUUAUUGAAGGAUGAAGCUCAAAUCUAAGUUUCUGAUCGUGCUUGAUAUGUCGUCUAUAUAUUCAGAAUGUAUAUGACAUGUCGGUUCUAGAGCCUCUGUGAGAUGUAUGACAUUUGCAAUAAGUGAUGCACAUGCUGCUCGCCUCAACAAAGAGCAAAUAAACUUCUAGGAGAAGUUAAGUGGAGGUGUUUGGAGGUUAUUCAGUGAUCUCAAGCAGACUACCUCGAUUAAGAGGUAAUUCGGUGACCUCGAUCAUACCAACUUGAUUAUGAAGUAAUUUUAGUUAUCAACUACACUGAGAGGUGAUUCUUUUAACCUCGAGCAAAUCUCCUCAACACGUGAGUUACUUACUUGUUACAAUUGCUAGUAUUAUCAUUUUGAAGGUCAGAUUGAAUGAAAGUUUUGCACAUGUCUUACAGCUAUUCAAGAGGUUGUUAUCAGCAGGAACUUUCUGGGUUUUGUAACAAACUCAGAACCAUACUUGAGCUGGC